This 732-nucleotide ribosomal RNA is filed under the name gut metagenome. RNAcentral describes it as "bacterial SSU rRNA". It matches the Rfam family "Bacterial small subunit ribosomal RNA", at positions 785 to 1520 of the family's 1533-position model. The record is from RNAcentral.
CCCUGGUAGUCCACGCCGUAAACGAUGGAUACUAGGUGUGGGGGGUCUGACCCCCUCCGUGCCGCAGUUAACACAAUAAGUAUCCCACCUGGGGAGUACGAUCGCAAGGUUGAAACUCAAAGGAAUUGACGGGGGCCCGCACAAGCGGUGGAGUAUGUGGUUUAAUUCGAAGCAACGCGAAGAACCUUACCAGGACUUGACAUCCUACUAACGAAGCAGAGAUGCAUAAGGUGCCCUUCGGGGAAAGUAGAGACAGGUGGUGCAUGGUUGUCGUCAGCUCGUGUCGUGAGAUGUUGGGUUAAGUCCCGCAACGAGCGCAACCCUUAUUGUUAGUUGCUACGCAAGAGCACUCUAGCGAGACUGCCGUUGACAAAACGGAGGAAGGUGGGGACGACGUCAAAUCAUCAUGCCCCUUAUGUCCUGGGCCACACACGUACUACAAUGGCGGUCAACAGAGGGAAGCAAAGCCGCGAGGUGGAGCAAAUCCCUAAAAGCCGUCCCAGUUCGGAUUGCAGGCUGAAACUCGCCUGUAUGAAGUCGGAAUCGCUAGUAAUCGCGGAUCAGCAUGCCGCGGUGAAUACGUUCCCGGGCCUUGUACACACCGCCCGUCACACCAUGAGAGUCGGGAACACCCGAAGUCCGUAGCCUAACAGCAAUGGGGGCGCGGCCGAAGGUGGGUUCGAUAAUUGGGGUGAAGUCGUAACAAGGUAGCCGUAUCGGAAGGUGCGGCUG